This 488-nucleotide ribosomal RNA is filed under the name uncultured bacterium. RNAcentral's name for it is "SSU rRNA". It matches the Rfam family "Bacterial small subunit ribosomal RNA", at positions 26 to 518 of the family's 1533-position model. The record is from RNAcentral.
AGGACGAACGCUGGCGGCGCGCUUAACGACAUGCAAGUCGAGCGAGAACCGAAGCCUUCGGGCAUCGGGGAAAGCGGCGAACGGGUGAGUAACACGUGGGCAACCCACCCUUGGUACCGGGAUAGCCCGGGGAAACCCGGAUUAAUACCGGAUGGCCCAGCAGCCUUUCGGGGCGGCUGGAAAAGGGAGCUUCGGCCUCCGACCAAGGACGGGCCCGCGGCGGAUUAGCUUGUUGGUGGGGUAACGGCCUACCAAGGCGACGAUCCGUAGCUGGUCUGAGAGGACGAUCAGCCACACUGGGACUGAGACACGGCCCAGACUCCUACGGGAGGCAGCAGUGGGGAAUCUUGCGCAAUGGGCGAAAGCCUGACGCAGCGACGCCGCGUGGGGGAUGAAGGCCUUCGGGUUGUAAACCCUUUCAGCAGGGACGAAGCGAAAGUGACGGUACCUGCAGAAGAAGCGCCGGCUAACUACGCGCCAGCAGCCGC